This 253-nucleotide ribosomal RNA is filed under the name uncultured bacterium. Its description in RNAcentral is "partial 16S ribosomal RNA". It matches the Rfam family "Bacterial small subunit ribosomal RNA", at positions 524 to 776 of the family's 1533-position model. The record is from RNAcentral.
UACAGAGGGUGCAAGCGUUGUCCGGAAUUAUUGGGCGUAAAGAGCUCGUAGGCGGUUUGUCGCGUCUGCCGUGAAAGUCCGGGGCUCAACUCCGGAUCUGCGGUGGGUACGGGCAGACUAGAGUGAUGUAGGGGAGACUGGAAUUCCUGGUGUAGCGGUGAAAUGCGCAGAUAUCAGGAGGAACACCGAUGGCGAAGGCAGGUCUCUGGGCAUUAACUGACGCUGAGGAGCGAAAGCAUGGGGAGCGAACAGG